Molecule: ribosomal RNA, 333 nt
Filed under: uncultured bacterium
Lineage: Bacteria
Description: bacterial SSU rRNA
Rfam family: Bacterial small subunit ribosomal RNA
Source: RNAcentral
CGGCGUGGUAAAGACAUGCAAGUCGAGCGCUACUUAUAGUGUAGCAAUACAUUGUAAGUGGAGCGGCGCAAGGGUGCGUAACACGUGGGUAAUUUACCAUGAAGUUGGGGAUAACUCGCUGAAAGGCGAGCUAAUACCGAAUGUGAUAAUUGAACGGCAUCGUUUGAUUAUUAAAGUUGGGGAUCGAAAGACCUGACGCUUUUUGAUAAGCCCGCGGCCUAUCAGCUAGUUGGUGAGGUAACGGCUCACCAAGGCUAAGACGGGUAGCUGGUCUGAGAGGACGACCAGCCACACUGGAACUGAGAUACGGUCCAGACACCUACGGGUGCCAGC